Molecule: ribosomal RNA, 1727 nt
Filed under: Patescibacteria group bacterium
Lineage: Bacteria
Description: partial 23S ribosomal RNA
Rfam family: Bacterial large subunit ribosomal RNA
Source: RNAcentral
GAAAAUUUCAAUACAAGUAUAUGGUGGAUGCCUUGACAUAAGAAGACUAUGAAGGACGUAGCAGCCUGCGAUAAGCUUCGGUGAGGUGGCAAGCAACCUUUGACCCGGAGAUUUCCGAAUGGGGAAACCUAUCCCAUUGAAGAUGGGAUGUCCGCUACCUGAACACAUAGGGUAGUGAGAUGAUAACCCGGUGAAUUGAAACAUCUUAGUAGCCGGAGGAAAAGAAAAAAAUUUCGUGUCUCACUAAUGUUCGACACAAGAAUUUUUAAUUUUAUAAUUUUUAAUUUUAUAAAUAAUUUUUAAUGAUUUAAUUUUCAAAUAAUUAAACUAAAAAUAGUUUUAGUGUUUGGAAAUUGAAAAAUUGAGAUUUGUUUGAAAAUUGAAAAUUGAAAAUUCUUAGUGGCGAGCGAUAGCGAGGCGCGAAUAUAUUCCCUUAGUAGCGGCGAGCGAAAAGGGAGGAGCCUAAACUUUAUAAACCGCGUGAAAUAGAGGUUGUUUUACUUCGGUAAAACAACUGAAAUUUUGCAAAAGGCGCCAAAGCCACAUGUUUAUAAAGUGUUAUAAGAUGAUUGCUUUUGUUUUUUGGAUAAAACAAAACAAAGUAAAAAACAACAUUUUUAAUUGAAGCGAGCUGGAAAGCUCAACCAAAGAGGGUGAUAGUCCUGUAAAUAAAAAAAAUGUUGCUUUGUUGCGGUUAUUCUUAAGUACUGCGGGACUCGUGAAAUCCCGUGGGAAUUUGGGUUGACUAUAACCCAAGGCUAAAUACUUCUUAUGAUCGAUAGUGAACUAGUACCGUGAGGGAAAGGUGAAAAGCAUCCCUGUUAGGGAGGUGAAAUAGUACCUGAAACCAUAUACUUACAAAGAGUAGGAGCUCCGUGUCUCACUAGCGUUCGACACGAAUUUUCAAUUUUCAAUUUUCAUCCCUCUCCAGUUUUAAUAAACUGGGGAGGGAUGAAAAUUGAAAAUUGAAAAUUCUUCGUGGCGAGCGAUAGCGAGGCGCGAAGUGACUGCGUGCCUAUUGAAGAAUGAGCCAACGAGUUUGUUCUAUGUGGCUUGCCCCAUUAGAUAAUUUUAUAUCUAACGGGGCUUGCAUAAAUUCCGUUUGGAAAAUAUGCAUAGUGAAAGCGAGGGUUAAUAGCCCGAAUGCGUGAAACGCAUAACGUAAAACGCAUAACGAUUUUUAAUAAUUUUCGUUAUGCGUUACGCGUUGUGCGUUACGCGAUCAGUCGCAUGGACAAGACCCGAAGCCGUGUGAUCUAGCCAUGGCCAGGUUGAAGUCCGCCGAAAGGCGGAUGGAGGACCGAACCCACUAGUCGUGCAACACUAGGGGAUGAGCUGUGGUUAGCGGUGAAAUUCCAAUCGAACUCGGCAAUAGCUGGUUCUCCUCGAAAUAGCUUUAGGGCUAGCCUCGAGCACUAACUGUAGGGGGUAGAGCACUGAAUGAGGGCGGGUCUUCGGAUACCGUCUUUAAUCAAACUCCGAAUACUUACAGGUGUAGCUCGGGAGUCAGACUAUGGGGGCUAAGCUCCAUUAGUCAAAAGGGAAACAGCCCAGAUCGCAAUCUAAGGUCCCUAAAUAUAUGCUAAGUGUAAAAGGUGGUGUCGCGACUGCGACAAUUAGGAGGUUGGCUUAGAAGCAGCCAUCCUUUAAAGAAAGCGUAAUAGCUCACUAGUCAAGUUGUCUCGCGCCGAAAAUGUACCGGGGCUAAGCAUAUUACCGAAGAUGCG